This is a long non-coding RNA of Syngnathus acus (greater pipefish), 1593 nucleotides long. RefSeq lists it as uncharacterized. Lineage: Eukaryota; Metazoa; Chordata; Actinopteri; Syngnathiformes; Syngnathidae. The record is from RefSeq and is a predicted model, not a curated record. The transcript has 2 exons.
ACACACCUCUGCACUUUAAUUUAAGCACACAGGCUUUGUACUGAGGUGUUGGAAGCAAAGGUGACCUUGAGCAUAUGAAUGCCAGAAGUUGACCGUCGUUGGGCUCCCAUUGCCGGCAGCUGUAUAUUACUGAAAUGGAAAAAGGGUUGUCAAAAGCAUCUACGAGUAAACAAGAUGUUGAUCUGUGUUCAGUGUGCGGGUCACAAAGGUGAAAGAGAUAAAGAGACAGACUGGAAAGAAAGAAACGAGAGAGUGCAAGAGAAGAAGCAAGAAAAACAAUAUUGAUAGAAUUGAAAUGGGAGGGUUUGUGCUCCAUUAAAAGUCCGCUCACUCUCGAUCUGACAGCCUCGCAAUCAGCCUGCAAUUAUUCUCAUCGAGGAGGCCAAUCACAAAGGAGUUAACGCUCAAAAGCUUCUUUUCAGCGCUUCUGCGUUGAAAUAGUCCAUCACAUAUUCUGAUUCCGCUUGGCUUAUUUCAAAGCAUCCCCUUUUCCCCCCUUCUUCUGCUCAGAUGUCAGUUUAUAGAUUUUUUUUUCCCAGGCUAAGCUCAGCUCUUCCCCUUUUGAGCAAAUGUGAUUUCCCACUUUAGUUUCCCUUAAACACACAUUUGCUAGCACAUUAGGUACACCCACAAAUUCUUCCUUUACAAAGAUAAAAAUGUUCAGUUUAGGUUUACCGGUAGGCUGUCUGAGAAAUAUUGAUUUAGCAAUGCAUUUAUUGUUGUGGUUGAAGAUUGAAGUGGUGUAGACUAAGGGCGGGCGUCGGAAAUGAAGGCUCGCCGCACACCAAGUGACUGGACAGUUGUGAAAAAAAAUACACUCAGCUGCACACCAGGGGUUGAACGCUUGUACAAUAGCAACUCACUGCAGAAACAUUGCGACCCUUUUGUUCGUUUUUUAAAAGCUGAGGCAGGCUUGCUACAUCACAAUUUAGAUGUAACUGAAGUGAUGAUGGGAAAACUUGUGGCAAGCAUUAUUCAUCCUUCCUGUAACGUUUGUCCCCAUCAAAGUCGCAUGAUGUUAUUUUUGCGGCACUGCAUCAUACUCAGAGCUAUUUUCAAUUAUUGCCUUUAAUUCCUCCUAUGAGGAGGAAGACGCUGAGACAGGCUACCAGGAACCAAAGGUGUCCAUUAAGUCACAUCCUCCCCCUUCUUCUGGUCUGAAGCCCGUCGACUAAUGGCCUCCCUUCAUGUCUUAUUCUCUAUGAAGCUGUCUUUCAUCCCACACAAUCAUGGAGGCAUGGACCUCUGGCUGCUUCGUUCAUGGCCGAUGGUGGGGAAAUCCACACAAAAAAACACGCAGUCUUCGAGCGGUGUUAUUUAACAAUAUAUUAAUAUUGUGUUUCUGGACUAGUUAAACAAUAUUGCGACAUUGAUACAUAUAAAAAAGACGUAAGAGUAAAUAAUGGUAAGAGAGUUGAGUUCGUAACGUCAUUUAUUACCAGCUCGUCUGUAGGACGUGUCACUAUCAUCGAUAAAGCCCGCACGGAUGGUGUUUGUGUGUGACUUCAUCACCUCGCUCCUUCCUGGAAUGGCUCGCCUUUAUCUCCGGGAAAGCAUCAAGGGACGAAUAAAAAUGAUAGUCUCUGUGUUAAA